Molecule: long non-coding RNA, 1965 nt
Organism: Tribolium castaneum (red flour beetle)
Lineage: Eukaryota; Metazoa; Arthropoda; Insecta; Coleoptera; Tenebrionidae
Exons: 3
Source: RefSeq, a predicted model, not a curated record
CAUUCUAAAGUAAAACAUAUUGUGUAAUUUUCUCAUGCACAACUUAAUUUUAACAGUCCACAAAACUAGCACUUUACUUUUCCGUUUUAUAAAACACUUCCAGUCUCACAUAACAUUCAAAGUGCACUUUACGAAGGUACAGGGGGAAUUUGAAGGCAUAUACACUCUGACUUCUUUCCAUUCUUGAAUAAUUGCGUUCCGUGAUGAGACAAACGCGAUUUUCACACAAGAACCAACCUAAACGACAACAUGUUUACGACCAAAGCCAGUAUCACGACCACACAUGACACACAAAAACAUUAUUUUAAAUAAACCGUCAAUGUUGUCAACCGUUUUACAAAACUGCGCAUGCUAAUUGUGCUUUAUGCCUUAUAUGGGUUGACAUUGUUGACAGUCCAGGGUGAGCACAUAGCGCGAAAUUUAAAUCAUGUUUCCUCUUUCUCUAUACAAGCGACACCCCCAUGCUGCACCUCACGUGGUACAAAAAUGUGAAAAAUGUUUGAUUUAACCUUAAACUUUUGUGUAAUUUUUCAUAGGUGGUAAACCUGUUUGAAUCAACUUCAUACCGGUCUAGUAUUCAUAUUGAAAAGUUUUCAAUAUUGAAAAGCACUUAUCAAUGGGUGCACGGUUUUGGUUUGGUGUUGUGGGACAUCGAAUAUGGAAGGAGAGGACUCACUAAGUACAGAGACUCAUGGGUUUGAGUUUCGAGCCAUUUUCCUUGAAGAAUGUACAAAUAACGAAGAAUAUUUCGAUAAAGAUGAUGAUAUACGUCGAAGAAUUUACUUUCUACUUUCCGAUUGUACAAAUUUAUCACUAAAGUGUGUUACAUUAAUAAAAGAAUUUAUUUCAUACGUUGAUAAUAUAAUAAUAACAAUGGAAAGAGAUCCUCUUGAUCUGAUAAGCAUACUGAUGAGUAAAUCUGAAAAAAUCACAGAGGAAUACAAGUGUACGAAUCUAUCACCAGUUUUAUUCAAGAAGCAGUGUCCCACAUUAUUCAAAGAACUUGUACUUGAGGCUAAUUGUAGCAAGAAAACAAACAUUAAAUCAAAAGUUACUGUAACUGCUUAUGAAGAAAUAAAAAAUAAGAAUAUUGGAAAGCAACACAUAAUGUAUACAACACAGCCAGGUUCAAUAAGCGAUUCAUCAAGCUCAGCUGAUCUAGAAGAUGAUGAUGAUUCUAAUUCCAAUUCAUCUCUCACUCGUAAGUGAAAGAGAAAAACAUGUCAAAAAGCAGGGGACUUUGAGCUGGUAGGACAUGAAGACAACUGUCAAUUUAACAAUACUGUGAAAUGUCAAGUGGAAAUAUUGAUAUUAGUUGGGGAUAGAUCUUACUGUGAAACAUUGGCCAAGCACCUUGGACUGAUUUGGUUUGAAGGUCUGUUGAAAGGAGAGGAAGACAUUGAACGUCGUUUGCAAAAUUGUGAUAAUAAAAUUUAUAGACUAGCUCACACAGAAAUUAUUAAGAAAAUGAUGAAUGGCUACAGCAGCAUCUGCAUCACCACAUCAACAUCAGCUUGGAAGUACAUACCAGCAUGUACGAAAGGAAUUAUUUACACAAAAAACAAUAAAUCUAAUUUGUAUGAAUUAUUCCAGAAGGACGCAAAUUACUGUGUUUUUGUCGAAGAUAGUAUUCAAGCUUAUGUAGAUGCUGUUAGUAAAAUUGUUCAAAAGUCAUUGUUAUGCAAUAUUUUACUGGAAGUAAAUUAUCAAAUAGAUGAAAAAGCUUAUACUAAAAUCCAUUUACCUAUAACGGUUUUAAUACCCUUUUACAUUGUUAAGUAUUUCGCACAAAGCUUCAUUGUGACACAUGGAACUUGCACAAAUUUUAAUAUUUUAGAUAUAUUUGAGUCUAGAGGUAAUGUCUAAGGCUCCAUGUAUUGAUUCUUUGUAAAUGCAUACUAAUAGUUUUCAAAAUUAUUGUGUUUUUAUGUUUACUUUGUAACCUAAAUUACUGAUGAUAUCAAA